Molecule: non-coding RNA, 69 nt
Organism: Rattus norvegicus (Norway rat)
Lineage: Eukaryota; Metazoa; Chordata; Mammalia; Rodentia; Muridae
Source: Rfam
GGGGAUUUAGCUCAGUGGUAGAGCGCUUGCCUAGCAAGUGCAAGGCCCUGGGUUCGGUCCCCGGCUCCA